Molecule: long non-coding RNA, 455 nt
Organism: Exaiptasia diaphana
Lineage: Eukaryota; Metazoa; Cnidaria; Anthozoa; Actiniaria; Aiptasiidae
Exons: 2
Source: RefSeq, a predicted model, not a curated record
CUAAGAUUAGGCAGUCCUAGCGACGAAAUAGCUUGUUGCACCGGGACUGCACGUUUACUGGGUCAAUCUAGACGUCAUGUGUCACGCACAUCGAGACUAACAUGCAUUACAUCAUAAUCUCGGCUAUUUUUAGAUUGUCGGCAUGACUUCGGAAGCUCUUCGUGUAUCUUCGGGAAUUUUCCGAGGUAUUUUGUUUUCAUUUUCCCAACAAAGACAAUAAUAGUACAAUUGAAAGGAUUUUGAUAACAAGUCCUCACCCAUCCUGCUUGAGGGAAAAAAUCCCUCUAAAAGAACUUACUCUAGUACGAAAACCUGGAAGAAGACAGCACUUUCUCUGCAAUAAACAAGUCAAAUGAUUCGAUGGAAGUCAAACCAGUCGAAACCGACGAAAGAAUGACGCAAAAUAUCAAGACUUAUGUCGAAGGGAGCGCCAAAAAAAGAAGAAAAAAAAAAAA